AACGCGGCGGCGAUGUCCGCGAGCCAGGCGAGCACCGCGGCUGCAGCGGCGGGGCCUCACGCGCGGCAGGGCGUCCUGGGCUUCGGCCUCCCUCCGGUUCCCGGGAAGCGGACUCGCGGGAAGCCCGGGAGCAGCAGCAGCAGCAGAGGCGGAGGCUCUGGCACGUCUCUCUCCUCCGCCUCAGCAUGAGCCAGGGGAGGCCAGGCGGCCGGGUGGCUGGAGGGGGGUCCGCUGCCCAAGAAUGGGAAUUCUCUUCACCAGGAUGUGGAGACUGUUCAAUCACCAGGAGCACAAAGUUGUCAUUGUUGGGCUGGAUAAUGCAGGGAAAACUACCAUCCUUUACCAAUUUUCUAUGAAUGAAGUUGUACAUACAUCCCCUACAAUAGGAAGUAAUGUAGAAAAGAUAGUGGUUAAUAAUACAUGUUUCCCAAUGUGGGACAUUGGUGGCCAAGAAUCUCUUAGUUCUUCCUGGAACACUUACUAUACUAACACUGAGUUUGUAAUAGUUGUUGUGGACAGUACAGACAGAGAAAGGAUUUCAGUAACUAGAGAAGAACUCUAUAAAAUGUUAGCACAUGAGGACCUGAGGAAAGCUGGACUGCUGAUUUUUGCUAAUAAACAAGAUGUUAAAGAAUGCAUGACUGUAGCAGAAAUCUCCCAGUUUUUGAAACUCACUUCUAUUAAAGAUCAUCAGUGGCAUAUCCAGGCAUGCUGUGCUCUUAAACUGGCGAGGGAUUGUGGCAAGGACUUGAAUGGAUGAUGUCACGAUUUAAGAUUAGAUGAUCUCUACUGACCUCGUCUCAUAGACUUUGUAUAAACGAAGUGCUGGACUUUACCUGAAAGCAGCAAAAAUUAAUGGUUUAGGUAUAUUUAUAAUAAACUGAUUUAAACUUUUUCUGUAAGAAGAAAAAUUAAGACCACUUAUUUGAAAACAAAGAUGAAGUCUCGCCUUCCAAUUUGCUUUCUCAUUAGUUCCUUCCAAAGUAAGGUCUUAAAGAUGUGAUUGACAUUUUUCUCAUAAUGAAUCCUCUCAGGACAUUGUGUAGCCUGUGGUAAGUACAAAGGGAGAGGAAGACAAUUUUAAGUUUGAGAACUUUUUCAUCAGUAUAACCCUCCCCAGUUGAAUGUUACUCUCUUUUUGUUCCAUUAAGUCAGAGUACAGAUCAGCACAGAUACUCAGUUUCCAAUAUUUCAAAAUGUAAUGCUACUUAUGAAAAGUAUUUUGUGUAAGGUUGCAUACGUAUUGUGUAUAUAGCUCAAGUUCAAGUUAAUGGCUUUGACUUAUGUUCUAAAGAAAAGUGAAUAACACAAAAAUUAAUAAUAUCCUUAAAUAUAGCCAUAAUGACAUGAGUACUGGCAUUGGUGGUGCCAUUUUGAACUUUUCCCCUUGUGUUCUCUGUAUUGUACUAACCAAUCCCCAAAAAUCAUUGAGCUGCUUUAGAAGAUAGAAGAGGAGAGGAAGAAAGUUUGACAUUUUGUACAUGUUUUCUUGUUGAUCAAAUAACAUACAGAAACAUGUAAUGCAACUGAGUGGAAUAUAUAUCAAAUAUAUCAAGUCCUUGGCUUAGUAUUUCUAAUGGGCAGAAUUGCACAGUGAGCAAUUAUUAUCAGAUUAUUAACUUUAUUGGUCCAAUGCCAUCUGUGUUAUUGAAUAAACUGUUAAUC
RNA transcript from Trichechus manatus latirostris (Florida manatee), 1665 nucleotides. It is a transcript of the gene named ADP-ribosylation factor-like protein 5A pseudogene, with no coding region annotated. Lineage: Eukaryota; Metazoa; Chordata; Mammalia; Sirenia; Trichechidae. The transcript has a single exon. The record is from RefSeq and is a predicted model, not a curated record.